Molecule: ribosomal RNA, 252 nt
Filed under: uncultured bacterium
Lineage: Bacteria
Description: partial 16S ribosomal RNA
Rfam family: Bacterial small subunit ribosomal RNA
Source: RNAcentral
GAUCCUGGCUCAGGAUGAACGCUAGCGGCAGGCUUAACACAUGCAAGUCGAGGGGCAGCGCGGGAUAGCAAUAUCCUGGCGGCGACCGGCGGAAGGGUGCGUAACGCGUGAGCGACAUGCCCGUUGCCCGGGGACAACCGGUGGAAACGCCGACUAAUCCCCGAUGGGAUAUUGUGCCGCAUGGCACGAUAUUGAAAGUUACGGCGGCGACGGAUUGGCUCGCGUCCGGUUAGCUUGUUGGCGGGGUAACGG